CAGAGGUCCCGAGCGUUGUUCGGAUUCACUGGGCGUAAAGGGUGCGUAGGUGGUUGGGCAAGUCUGAUGUGAAAUCUCCGGGCUUAACCCGGAAAUGGCAUUGGAAACUGCCUGGCUAGAGUGUUGGAGGGGGGACUGGAAUUCUCGGUGUAGCAGUGAAAUGCGUAGAUAUCGAGAGGAACACCAGUGGCGAAGGCGAGUCCCUGGACAACGACUGACACUGAGGCACGAAAGCUAGGGGAGCAAACAGGAUUAGAUACCCUGGUAGUCCUAGCCGUAAACGGUGCUUGCUUGCUGUAAAAGGAAUCGACCCCUUUUGUGGCGAAGCCAACGCGAUAAGCAAGCCGCCUGGGAAGUACGGUCGCAAGAUUA
Molecule: ribosomal RNA, 372 nt
Filed under: uncultured organism
Description: bacterial SSU rRNA
Rfam family: Bacterial small subunit ribosomal RNA
Source: RNAcentral